UACGGAGGAUGCGAGCGUUAUCCGGAUUUAUUGGGUUUAAAGGGUGCGCAGGCGGCACGGCAAGCCGGCGGUCAAAUCGCGGGGCUCAACCCCGCCCAGCCGUCGGAACUGCCGGGCUAGAGUGGGCGAGAAGUGCGCGGAAUGCCUGGUGUAGCGGUGAAAUGCAUAGAUAUCACGCAGAACUCCGAUUGCGAAGGCAGCGCACCGGCGCCCUACUGACGCUCAGGCACGAAAGCGUGGGUAUCGAACAGG
RNAcentral lists this ribosomal RNA (252 nucleotides) under uncultured bacterium. RNAcentral describes it as "partial 16S ribosomal RNA". It matches the Rfam family "Bacterial small subunit ribosomal RNA", at positions 524 to 776 of the family's 1533-position model. The record is from RNAcentral.